CUGAUUUUUUCAGUAAUCUCAAACCGAACCUAAGUUAAAAUAUAUAUAGUUUUAGAUAUUAUACACCGUUGGAUUGGUUGAUAAUUAGCCUCAACCGUUCAUUCAAAAUGAAACCUAAUCUCACCUUCACCUUCACUAUGACCUCUCAGCCAAACUCUUUGACCUCACCUCACCUUCACUUCCUUACCUCCCUAUUCCUGUACUCCUUUCAGUUCAAACCAAUAAAUCUCUCUCUCUCGACCUCCACUCUUUCACUCUCUCUCCCUUACCUUCACACUACUUCCAGACCAGUCUUCCAUUUUCUUUUUGCAUUUAACAACUUCCUCUGCAUUCGAUAAUCAAUACAGCCACCUCUGCUUCCUUUUACUUCUCUCUUCAUUAAGGUACAAUUUGUGUUUCCAACAACAUUGCUAGCAAGGCAAGUUUAAAUAAAUUCAUUUUUUUUAUCAGUUCACAGUAUUAGUUUUUGGAAUUUUUAGCCACGAAGCCUACAUAAAACAUGGUGGAUUAGAUUUGUUUUAUUAGCAAGAUACCAUCCAAUCCAUAUUUGAAUUCUAUGUUUCUUACAGUACCCUCUCUUUCUUUAUAGGCAUGAGAGAAUUUAGGCCAAUGAGUUUGGUUUCUUGCCUUGGAGAUUCUGGGGGAGGAUAGUUUUCUUUAUUUUUCGAUGAAUGUUGUAAUAGCAUAAUGUUUUGCCGAGACUUUCUCUGAAUUCGUGUGUGUAUUUGCUACUUUAGCUACACUAUUUAGCUGUAAACGAAGUUUAUAUGUUGUUACGAUUGUUUUGACACAUGAGCCCUAAAUUAUUUUGGGAUUCUCAAAAAUUGGAUUUGAGAUUGGUCUUGAAAUUGGGAGUCCCGAAAACUUUGGUUUGGGAAUUGGAAUAAGAGUUUCGGUUCAGUAUCCCAUACCGAACCAACCCUAAAAAUGAUAAUAGCUUGGAAAACUUUUCUCUCCAUGAGAGAGCUUUCCUCUCAAACUGAGAGUUAUUCUCAAUUCCUGUGUAAGGCGUUCAAACCAAAGAAAAUCCUGUGGCGCUGGCCCUAGCUUCGGUUAGGGUCGGUUGUUGUUUCCUUCUUGCGUUCUUUCUCUUUUGUUUUCCUUGAUUCCACUGCUUUUUCUUCCAAAUCUCUACUUCGAUCUAUUCUAUUGCUUUAUCCUCGUGGGUAUUACUCUUCCUGGCUCUUCCUUGCUCCAAUCUUUGGCCACACAUCCUACUGAGAUAGUGCGUAGAGUUCCAGUGUAUCCACCAGCUUAGGUGUUUCCAACACCACCACUUUCUCUUUGUUAUCUGUCGGUUUCGUUAGUGUCGUUCAUGAUUUUCACGAGCUUCAAACUGAUAGUUCGCUUCUCUUGCUUAGUUGCCAGCUAUCUCUAGUUUAUGAUUGUGCUCAGGUAGCAAUUUGGGUUUGGAUGUGGCGUCUGUUAAAGCAGUGCUCGGCGGCAGAGAUGGAAUCGGAUGGAUUGGCUGGCACUGGAAGGGUGGAGAAAGCUAUGGAAAGGUGUGGAAGCUUUUGCUUUGGAAGACUUGAUGUUAAGUUUGGGCCUAACUGUUUUUGGGCUCAUUUUUUGUUUUCUAGUGUUUUAGGCCUACUUUUGUUUGUUGAUAUGUAGUCUUUGGACCUUUAUGUGCUGUAUGUUUGUUGUUGGUGUUUAAUAAAAUAUCCUUUUACAAUA
Long non-coding RNA from Pyrus x bretschneideri (Chinese white pear), 1677 nucleotides. RefSeq lists it as uncharacterized. The transcript has 2 exons. The record is from RefSeq and is a predicted model, not a curated record. NCBI's taxonomy places the organism in Eukaryota, Viridiplantae, Streptophyta, Magnoliopsida, Rosales, Rosaceae.